This is an RNA transcript of Fragaria vesca subsp. vesca, 1793 nucleotides long. It is a transcript of the gene named UDP-glycosyltransferase 76F1-like, with no coding region annotated. Lineage: Eukaryota; Viridiplantae; Streptophyta; Magnoliopsida; Rosales; Rosaceae. The transcript has 2 exons. The record is from RefSeq and is a predicted model, not a curated record.
AAUAGGUUAUAGCGCUAUGUUCAUUAAUAUAUAGAUAUGUAAAGAAAGAAUCAAAGAAACAACACUGGAACAAUUUAGACAUCAGGAGUAGGGAGCAAAGGGGACUCAAACCAGAGCCAAACAAUUUAGACUCCAUUUCGCUCUAAAGUUUAAUGGAGCAAAUUAGGAAAGGCAAGAGGUUGAUACUCUUCCCAUUACCCCUUCAAGGCCGUAUAAACCCUAUGCUUGAGCUAGCUAAUGUUCUACACUUCAGAGGCUUCUCCAUAACCAUCCUCCACACCAACUUCAACUCUCUCAACCCUUCAAACCAUCCUCACUUUACCUUCCACUCGAUCCCUGAUGGCCUAUCCGAAACUGAGACCUCCACAAAAAGUCACAUGCUCCUUGUUUCUUGUCUAAACGCAAACUGUCAUGAUCCUUUCCGAAACUGCCUAGCUAACUUGUUAUCCGAUGAUGGUUCAGAGGAGCCUAUUGCUUGCUUAAUCACUGACCCUCUCUUUGACUUCACUCGAUCUGUCGCUAAGAGCCUUAAGCUUCCAAGGAUGCUGCUAAGAACAGGAAGUGCCACAUCGACUACUGUUUUUGCCGCAUUUCCACUUCUAUGGGAAAAGGGUUACCUCCCCAAACAAGAAUCUCAACUAGAAGAGCCAGUAGUAGAGUUGCCACCACUCAAAGUCAAGGACCUUCCAAUGAAUUCUGGUGACCCAAAGAUAUUUUAUCAACUAGUAACUGAACUGGCAAAUGAGGUCAAGACUUCAGAUGGAGUUAUUUUCAAUACUUCUGAAGAUCUUGAAGAACAAGAAUCCGACAAGACUUUCCCAUCCCAAUUUUCCCAAUAGGUCCAUUUCACAAAUGGUUCCCAACCUCCUAUUCAAGUAGCUUAUUAUCAGAGGAUGAAAGUUGCAUUUCGUGGCUAAAUACUCAAGCACCAAAGUCUGUUGUCUAUGUUAGCUUUGGGAGCACUGCUGCAGUAAAUGAAGCUCAAUUUUUGGAAAUAGCUUGGGGAUUAGCCAACACCAAUCAGCCUUUCUUGUGGGUGGUUCGACCUGGAUUACUCCAACGCUCUGAAUGGCUAGAAAAAUUACCUCAAGGGUACCUGGAGGCUUUAGAUGGGAAGGGUCACAUUGUGAAAUGGGCACCACAGAAAAAGGUGCUGGCUCAUCCAGCUGUGGGACUAUUCUGGACUCACAAUGGGUGGAAUUCAACAUUGGAGAGUAUUUCUGAGGGGGUGCCUAUGGUCUGUAUGCCAAUUUUUGCCGAUCAAAUGUUAAAUGCAAGAUAUGUCAGUGAUGUUUGGAGAGUAGGGUUGCAGUUAGAGAAUGGGAUCAAGAGAGACGAAAUUGAAAAAACAAUUCGAAAACUGAUGACAGAGAAAGAAGGGGAAGAGAUCAAAGACAAAAUGUCAAAGCUUAAGGAGAAGACAAAUCUUUCACUCAGAGAAGGUGGCUCUUCAUACCAAUCCUUGGAUGGCUUGGUUAACCAUAUUCUAUCAUUAUAGUCACUGGACGUUGAUCAAAAUGUAUCAUAUUUUCAUCACUAUCAAGUCACUGAUUGAUCAAAAUGUGUCUGUACUCUGUAGCAUAUCAUCUAUAGGCCAAACAGACAAAUCAGUACAUCAGACUGAGUUUAGAUCACGCAAGUAUUUAUAUGUAGUUCUAUCAAGUUUAGAUCUACGCAAGUAUUUAUAAGAAGACUCCGUUCCUUGUAUUCAGUAUUAUUGGUUUUGUACAAUUCCAGAACAGAACUAGAAGGCUCUUCUCUCAUAAUUAUACAGGCUUUCACUCUUAUGCACU